Molecule: unclassified non-coding RNA, 277 nt
Filed under: Ganoderma lucidum
Lineage: Eukaryota; Fungi; Basidiomycota; Agaricomycetes; Polyporales; Polyporaceae
Description: partial internal transcribed spacer region
Rfam family: Eukaryotic small subunit ribosomal RNA (bases 1-46)
Source: RNAcentral
AAGUCGUAACAAGGUUUCCGUAGGUGAACCUGCGGAAGGAUCAUUAUCGAGUUUUGACUGGGUUGUAGCUGGCCUCCCGAGGCAUGUGCAGGCCCUGCUCAUCCACUCUACACCUGUGCACUUACUGUGGGCUUCAGACGUCGUGAAGCGGGCUCUUUACGGAGCUUGUAGAGCGUGUCUGUGCCUGCGUUUACCACAAACUCUAUAAAGUAUUAGAAUGUGUAUUGCGAUGUAACGCACCUAUGUACAACUUUCAGCAACGGAUCUCUUGGCUCUC